CAGUAGUCACGAGUUUGACUCCUGGCUCAGAACGAACGCUGGCGGCAUGCCUAACACAUGCAAGUCGAACGAGACCUUCGGGUCUAGUGGCGCACGGGUGCGUAACGCGUGGGAACCUGCCUUUAGGUUCGGAAUAACUCAGAGAAAUUUGAGCUAAUACCGGAUAAUGUCUUCGGACCAAAGAUUUAUCGCCUUUAGAUGGGCCCGCGUUGGAUUAGCUAGUUGGUGGGGUAAAGGCCUACCAAGGCGACGAUCCAUAGCUGGUCUGAGAGGAUGAUCAGCCACACUGGGACUGAGACACGGCCCAGACUCCUACGGGAGGCAGCAGUGGGGAAUAUUGGGACAAUGGGCGAAAGCCUGAUCCAGCAAUGCCGCGUGAGUGAUGAAGGCCUUAGGGUUGUAAAGCUCUUUUACCCGAGAUGAUAAUGACAGUAUCGGGAGAAUAAGCUCCGGCUAACUCCGUG
This 464-nucleotide ribosomal RNA is filed under the name uncultured bacterium. Its description in RNAcentral is "bacterial SSU rRNA". It matches the Rfam family "Bacterial small subunit ribosomal RNA", at positions 1 to 507 of the family's 1533-position model. The record is from RNAcentral.